This 287-nucleotide long non-coding RNA is filed under the name Ananas comosus (pineapple). RNAcentral describes it as "long non-coding RNA (ACOM_LNC011973)". Lineage: Eukaryota; Viridiplantae; Streptophyta; Magnoliopsida; Poales; Bromeliaceae. The record is from RNAcentral.
UUGAAAUUUUCUAUUGUGUCACCUUGCAUUUAGAAUUUUCUAUGUUUAAUAUUCGGAACCAUGAACUGACCGUUCCUAGCGCAAGUGGCAAAAGGGCUUGGUGGUUGAUACCCGAGACCCAAAUUCGAAUCCUAGUUAAUUCACAUUUCCAGUUAAGUUUAUUUCUAAAUUAAAUAAACGAAACGGGUAGCGUGCUACCUACCUCUCAAAAAAAAAAAUUUCGGAUCCAUGAAUACUUAUAAAUUUUCUAUUUUGAUUUUUCUCUUUUAUUUGCAAUUAUUUCAUUU